UUCCAGACUCCUACGGGAGGCAGCAGUGAGGAAUAUUGGUCAAUGGUCGGGAGACUGAACCAGCCAAGCCGCGUGAGGGAGGAAGGUACAGAGUAUCGUAAACCUCUUUUGUCAGGGGACAAAGACUGGGACGCGUCCCCGGAUGAGUGUACCUGAAGAAAAAGCAUCGGCUAACUCCGUGCCAGCAGCCGCGGUAAUACGGAGGAUGCGAGCGUUAUCCGGAUUUAUUGGGUUUAAAGGGUGCGCAGGCGGAAUGUCAAGUCAGCGGUAAAAUUUCGGGGCUCAACCCCGUCGUGCCGUUGAAACUGGCGUUCUUGAGUGAGCGAGAAGUAUGCGGAAUGCGUGGUGUAGCGGUGAAAUGCAUAGAUAUCGCGCAGAACUCCGAUUGCGAAGGCAGCAUGCCGGCUCCACACUGACGCUGAGGCACGAAAGCGUGGGUAUCGAACAGGAUUAGAUACCCUCGUA
Molecule: ribosomal RNA, 465 nt
Filed under: uncultured bacterium
Lineage: Bacteria
Description: bacterial SSU rRNA
Rfam family: Bacterial small subunit ribosomal RNA
Source: RNAcentral